RNAcentral lists this ribosomal RNA (497 nucleotides) under uncultured bacterium. RNAcentral's name for it is "partial 16S ribosomal RNA". It matches the Rfam family "Bacterial small subunit ribosomal RNA", at positions 28 to 507 of the family's 1533-position model. The record is from RNAcentral.
GAUGAACGCUGGCGGCGUGCCUAAUACAUGCCAGUCGAGCGAACAGACGAGGAGCUUGCUCCUCUGACGUUAGCGGCGGACGGGUGAGUAACACGUGGAUAACCUACCUCUAAGACUGGGAUAACUUCGGGAAACCGGAGCUAAUACCGGAUAAUAUAUUGAACCGCAUGGUUCAAUAGUUAAAGACGGUUUUGCUGUCACUUAUAGAUGGAUCCGCGCCGCAUUAGCUAGUUGGUAAGGUAACGGCUUACCAAGGCGACGAUGCGUAGCCGACCUGAGAGGGUGAUCGGCCACACUGGAACUGAGACACGGUCCAGACUCCUACGGGAGGCAGCAGUAGGGAAUCUUCCGCAAUGGGCGAAAGCCUGACGGAGCAACGCCGCGUGAGUGAUGAAGGUCUUCGGAUCGUAAAACUCUGUUAUUAGGGAAGAAAAAAUGUGUAAGUAACUAUGCACGUCUUGACGGUACCUAUUCAGAAAGCCACGGCUAACUACGUG